RNAcentral lists this ribosomal RNA (441 nucleotides) under uncultured bacterium. Its description in RNAcentral is "partial 16S ribosomal RNA". It matches the Rfam family "Bacterial small subunit ribosomal RNA", at positions 338 to 795 of the family's 1533-position model. The record is from RNAcentral.
CCUACGGGAGGCAGCAGUAGGGAAUAUUGCUCAAUGGGGGACCCCCUGAAGCAGCAACGCCGCGUGGAGGAUGAAGGUUUUCGGAUUGUAAACUCCUUUUGUUAGAGAAGAUACUGACGGUAUCUAACGAAUAAGCACCGGCUAACUCCGUGCCAGCAGCCGCGUUAAUACGGAGGGUGCAAGCGUUACUCGGAAUCACUGGGCGUAAAGGGCGCGUAGGCGGGGUAGCAAGUCAGAUGUGAAAUCCUAUGGCUUAACCAUAGAACUGCAUUUGAAACUGUUAUUCUAGCGUAUGGGAGAGGUAGGUGGAAUUCUUGGUGUAGGGGGAAAAUCCGUAGAGAUCAAGAGGAAUACUCAUUGCGAAGGCGACCUGCUAGAACAUAACUGACGCUGAUGCGCGAAAGCGUGGGGAGCAAACAGGAUGAGAUACCCCUGGUAGUC